Molecule: ribosomal RNA, 125 nt
Filed under: Escherichia coli
Lineage: Bacteria; Pseudomonadati; Pseudomonadota; Gammaproteobacteria; Enterobacterales; Enterobacteriaceae
Also listed under: 13 other names
Description: partial 16S ribosomal RNA
Rfam family: Bacterial small subunit ribosomal RNA
Source: RNAcentral
UUAAAUUGAAGAGUUUGAUCAUGGCUCAGAUUGAACGCUGGCGGCAGGCCUAACACAUGCAAGUCGAACGGUAACAGGAAGCAGCUUGCUGCUUCGCUGACGAGUGGCGGACGGGUGAGUAAUGU